GGCUAACUACGUGCCAGCAGCCGCGGUAAUACGUAGGGGGCGAGCGUUGUCCGGAAUUAUUGGGCGUAAAGGGUUCGCAGGCGGUCUGAUAAGUCAGAUGUGAAAGGCGUAGGCUCAACCUACGUAAGCAUUUGAAACUGUCAGACUUGAGUUAAGGAGAGGAAAGUGGAAUUCCUAGUGUAGCGGUGAAAUGCGUAGAUAUUAGGAGGAAUACCAGUGGCGAAGGCGACUUUCUGGACUUAUACUGACGCUGAGGAACGAAAGCGUGGGGAGCAAACAGGAUUAGAUACCCCUGUAGUC
This 300-nucleotide ribosomal RNA is filed under the name uncultured Soehngenia sp. RNAcentral describes it as "bacterial SSU rRNA". It matches the Rfam family "Bacterial small subunit ribosomal RNA", at positions 495 to 795 of the family's 1533-position model. The record is from RNAcentral. Lineage: Bacteria; Bacillati; Bacillota; Tissierellia; Tissierellales; Tissierellaceae.